GCCGCGUCCGGCGGACGUGUCUCCGUGCUUGGUGUCACCCUGACCCGGUGGCUCUCCCCACCCUAACAUCCCUGAGAUGCCUCACCUCCUCCUCAGAUCUGUUACAGUCACUUCUCAGCGUCAGAACCAGUAUUCCUGAGAUCAGCACCCGGGGCAUCUCGACCUUGGCGUUACACCCUGGCCAUCCUCCGCUCCACCAGGCCAGCUCCUGGAGAGACCUGCCUAGCUCCUUUUCCUCUGGCCUCUCCUGUCUAAUGAAGCCUGACGGACAAACAAUUCUACUCAGAGCACCUGUAGACGGGCAUCACUCUCCACCUGCUCCUUGCCCUCACAGUGCUGGCAGCCUCCUGACACAGCAAGCGCCCUGCCAGAGGUCUGUCUCCUCCCCUAGACAACUUGCCACCCAACUAAAAUGCAAAUGGGCUCAAAAGCACUCCAUCCCCACUGGACCUUCUGAUCAUGCUAUGCAGCGCUAAUGAUCUAAAUGCUGAUCGGCCCUCUUGCUAUGGUGUGGCUCUUGAAGCCCCCAAUGUGUUGAAGGCCCCACGUGACCCUGGGAGCUGCUGGGACCUUUGGGAAGUGGGUCUUGUGGGAGGAAGUUAGGUCCCUGGCGUGUGCCCUUGGAGAGGGUAUUAAAGCCCUGCCCCUUCCUCUCUCUCCUCGCCGCCUGGUCACUGUGCGGUGAGAUGCCUCCCCCAAC
RNAcentral lists this long non-coding RNA (700 nucleotides) under Heterocephalus glaber (naked mole-rat). RNAcentral's name for it is "lncRNA (ENSHGLG00100045846.1)". The record is from RNAcentral. Lineage: Eukaryota; Metazoa; Chordata; Mammalia; Rodentia; Bathyergidae.